AGAGUUUGAUCCUGGCUCAGGAUGAACGCUGGCGGCGUGCCUAACACAUGCAAGUCGAACGCGAGAUUUUUUGCUUGCAAGAAAUCGAGAGUGGCGAACGGGUGAGUAACACGUUGGUGACCUGCCCCGAGGAGGGGGACAACUGUGGGAAACCACAGCUAAUACCCCGGAUGUUAAGGAGUUUAGACGCCCUUAACUAAAGUUACGGCGCCUCGGGAGGGGCCUGCGGGCUAUCAGCUAGUUGGUGAGGUAAGAGCUCACCAAGGCAAAGACGGCUAGGGGGCGUGAGAGCGCGACCCCCCACAAUGGAACUGAGACACGGUCCAUACUCCUACGGGAGGCAGCAGUGAGGAAUAUUGCGCAAUGGGCGAAAGCCUGACGCAGCAACGCCGCGUGGAUGAUGAAGGCCUUCGGGUUGUAAAAUCCUUUUCUGGGGGACGAUGAUGACGGUACCUCAGGAAUAAGUCCCGGCUAACUACGUGCCAGCAGCCGCGGUAAAACGUAGGGGGCGAGCGUUAUCCGGAAUUAUUGGGCGUAAAGAGCACGUAGGUGGCGUUAAAAGUUGGGCGUGAAAGCUCUCGGCUUAACUGAGAGAGGUCGUUCAAAACUAUAAUGCUUGAGGUUGAUAGAGGAGAGUAGAAUUCCCGGUGUAGUGGUGGAAUGCGUAGAUAUCGGGAGGAAUACCAGUGGCGAAAGCGGCUCUCUGGAUCACACCUGACACUGAGGUGCGAAAGCGUGGGUAGCAAACAGGAUUAGAUACCCUGGUAGUCCACGCUGUAAACGAUGGAUACUAGGUGUGGGAGGUUAUUUACCCCUUCUGUGCCGGAGCAAACGCGUUAAGUAUCCCGCCUGGGGACUACGGCCGCAAGGCUAAAACUCAAAGGAAUUGACGG
This 893-nucleotide ribosomal RNA is filed under the name uncultured bacterium. RNAcentral's name for it is "bacterial SSU rRNA". It matches the Rfam family "Bacterial small subunit ribosomal RNA", at positions 8 to 916 of the family's 1533-position model. The record is from RNAcentral.